CUACAAUUUAAUAACAAAAAGGCCAAGAAGCUCUGAGAGGAGCUAAGAAUAAAGAAGUACAUCUCAACACAUCAACAACCUCAAGUGAAUGGCCAGGUUGAAGUCAUAAACAAGUCAUCAAAUAUAUCCUAAAAUGUAAACUUGAUGCCCUCAAAGGAACAUAGGUUCACAAGCUCCUUCAAGUGCUAUAAGCUAUUCGCACAACAAGUUGAAUUGCUACUAGAGGAAUACCUUUCUCUAUGGUCUAUGGGGCCGAAGCUAUGAGUUUGGUCGAGGUAGGAUUAUCUUUAUUUUAUUGUUUACAUUUCAGUGAAAUCGCCAACGACGAAUUGAUGAGGUAUGAGCUUGGCUUUUUGAAGAAAUGAAGGAUAAUUCAAAACUGAAGCUCGCCUUUCCAAAGGAAAGAUGACUAGCUACUACAAUCCUAAAGUGCAGAAAGAUCAUUUUGCAUAGAGGUAUUUUUCUCCUUGAAAGAACUAGAUGUAGGAACCUUUGGCCCCGAUUGCGAACGAACAUGAGAUACACAAAAUUCAAAAACUAGAUGAAAAUGCACAAUCGCAUCCAUGGAAUGUAGAAUAUACACAAGUAGUAUCAACGCGAAAACCUCAUUCUUUUAGCUAAAUUACCUUUCCCAACUUAUGUAAACUUUCAAUAAAGACUAUUUUAAUACAAGUAUCUUCACCUUCUUAUUUAUCUUUCAUGAAUGAACCAUCUACCAUAAAACAAGCCCUUGGCAUAGAUGAAAAAGCCACUAUCCUAGGAAGUCUAAUUGCUUGAAAAGGUAAGGUGCAAAAUAUCCUAAAGAGGACUCACCUUAAAAGAUAUAAAGCACCACCUAUAAUAGAAAAAGCUCUUGACAUGGACGAACUAUCUACCAAUAAGAAAGUCUACCACUUCAACAAGAGAGACAUGAAACAUUCUAGAAAACCCCACUUCAGACCCUAUAGAGCAUGUGUCAACUUAAUGCUCCAAAUGGAGUAGCUUCUUCCCAAAUGGUACUUAUGUUUUUCGAGGCCUAAUACUUAAUCAAGUCUAUAUAAGGCAAUCCAAAAUAAG
Molecule: long non-coding RNA, 1056 nt
Filed under: Olea europaea subsp. europaea
Lineage: Eukaryota; Viridiplantae; Streptophyta; Magnoliopsida; Lamiales; Oleaceae
Source: RNAcentral